Centruroides sculpturatus (bark scorpion) is the source of this 570-nucleotide long non-coding RNA. RefSeq lists it as uncharacterized. The record is from RefSeq and is a predicted model, not a curated record. The transcript is spliced from 3 exons. Lineage: Eukaryota; Metazoa; Arthropoda; Arachnida; Scorpiones; Buthidae.
AUUUAAAAGUUUGUGCUUUGAUUUUUUCAGAAAAUUUGUGUUAAAUAUAAAGAAUGAAUAUGUUUAAGAAAAUUGAAAAUAUGAAUGUGGAUGGAGAUCUACAGAUAAUGUUGUGUGAGAAGAGAUUUGAUUUACCGUAUCUCAGCAUUAAUUUCCAAACAGAAUAUGGAAAUAAAGAUGAUUUUAUCAGUUGGGAUUUGGAAAGCUAUGGAAAAACAAAUUAUAUGAAAAUUCUAAUCGAUCUUGCUGAGGAUUAUUUUGCUACGAACAUUUCAAUUUGCAACAGGAUGAUAAUCGUUGCGAUGAGUGCGAAGAUCAUCACGUAUCGCGUGCUCAGAAAGUUAAGCUACAAGCUGUCAACAAUUAUUUAAACAGAAAUUCAGAGUUAUUCUGUGAAGAACAAUUUGACCCUCUUGCUCUGUUUGUAAUGUCGUACUAAGAGUACGACAUUACAAACAGAUGAUGAUGAUUAGGAUUUUUUUUUCAGUUGGGACUUAAAGGGUAACAAAAGACAGGAUAUUUGGACAUUGCUCGUGAUCUUACUAAAGAUUGUUUUAAUGACAAUGAUUC